GAACUUGCAACAAUGGUUCACGCACAAGCUCCGAGGCUAACAUGGUUAUUUCUUCAAUAUUUAAUGAACCCGCUUAGUUAUUUUACAUACGGUUAACAUACACUUCAUUAAAGAGCUUGUAUGAUGUGGUGUUGGUUGUUGACGUGAACACUUAUACCAACAAUUAAACAUACGGAUUGUUGGAGAUGCUCUGAUUGUAACGUCCAACGGUUUUGCGCCCGAGACAGUGUUCAUACGAUCGGACGACGUAGGGACAAUUUCCAGAGAGAGGUCGAACGGAAAUUAGGCCCCUCACGGUUUUGGUGCCCCAUGCGAUCGCCCAUGUCACAGGUCCUCAUCGAUGGGCCGGAGUAGUAUCAUGACCUUCAGAACAUCCAAGCAGCUGGCUUGUGUUCUUCAUCAACGUCGCCCACUUGAUAUGCUUGUAACUUAUAAGGUUUUACCGAGGCCUCCUAAUCUCAGAGUUUGCUCUACAAGGUCUAAAGGCAUGAUGUUUGUAUACCGUUAAUCUCGCCGCUAUCGCUACUCUCUAUAUGCACAAAGGAAGCUACAUUGAUUUUUAUGUUCAACUUGACAGCUUUUAUAGACUGGCUACGAUCCAUGAAUCCAUGUGCGCGCAGCUGCACAAUGCGGUACUAAAUAAGGAUGUACAAGAGGUGUGAGAACGUGCCCAUGUAUUGCUAGCCUCUUGAAUGGUUGCUUCUGAAUUGGGUUUUUCAGGUGGACACUCCCAUUAUGAAAACCAUGAGCCAGUUUCUAUUAAACUCUACUGAUGUACGCAUAUGUACGCUUACGAAGAAGGGAACCAAGUUGCUACUCUUUAGGCAAGUUCACGGGGAAUAUCAUCAAAACAGGAAAUAUUCUCCAUGACUAAACAUCUCAAAUGUAGGACUUUGCAUAAACAUACCAAAACUGUGACGUUCCUUGGCAUUGAUCGUGUGAUCAUUCGGUGUCCUUUUUACAUUAUAAAGAAAACCAGAUGAUCACGCAAUACAUCAUACUCAUAGUAAUGUCCUUGCGUUGUCAUAGAAUAAAAAAAAAUACAGACCCAAAUAUUUGUCGUUCAACAAAUAUUGAAUCUCUCCCACUUUAUUGGUCCUUAGAAAUCACCAUGUCUUCUUGACUACCCUCUCCUGGGAAGAAAAACUAACCCCUAACCAGGGGCGG
Molecule: long non-coding RNA, 1167 nt
Filed under: Hordeum vulgare
Lineage: Eukaryota; Viridiplantae; Streptophyta; Magnoliopsida; Poales; Poaceae
Description: long non-coding RNA (HVUL_LNC016908)
Source: RNAcentral